Molecule: ribosomal RNA, 301 nt
Filed under: uncultured Lysinibacillus sp.
Lineage: Bacteria; Bacillati; Bacillota; Bacilli; Caryophanales; Bacillaceae
Description: bacterial SSU rRNA
Rfam family: Bacterial small subunit ribosomal RNA
Source: RNAcentral
ACGCCGCGUGAGUGAGAGGCUUUCGGAUCGUAAAACUCUGUUGUAAGGGAAGAACAAAUUCAAUAGUAACUGGUUGUACCUUGACGGUACCUUAUUAGAAAGCCACGGCUAACUACGUGCCAGCAGCCGCGGUAAUACGUAGGUGGCAAGCGUUGUCCGGAAUUAUUGGGCGUAAAGGGCGCGCAGGCGGUUCUUUAAGUCUGAUGUGAAAGCCCACGGCUCAACCGUGGAGGGUCAUUGGAAACUGGGAGACUUGAGUGCAGAAGAGGAAAGUGGAAUUCCAUGUGUAGCGGUGAAAUAA